This 2901-nucleotide ribosomal RNA is filed under the name Escherichia coli. Its description in RNAcentral is "23S ribosomal RNA". It matches the Rfam family "Bacterial large subunit ribosomal RNA". The record is from RNAcentral. Lineage: Bacteria; Pseudomonadati; Pseudomonadota; Gammaproteobacteria; Enterobacterales; Enterobacteriaceae.
UUAAGCGACUAAGCGUACACGGUGGAUGCCCUGGCAGUCAGAGGCGAUGAAGGACGUGCUAAUCUGCGAUAAGCGUCGGUAAGGUGAUAUGAACCGUUAUAACCGGCGAUUUCCGAAUGGGGAAACCCAGUGUGAUUCGUCACACUAUCAUUAACUGAAUCCAUAGGUUAAUGAGGCGAACCGGGGGAACUGAAACAUCUAAGUACCCCGAGGAAAAGAAAUCAACCGAGAUUCCCCCAGUAGCGGCGAGCGAACGGGGAGCAGCCCAGAGCCUGAAUCAGUGUGUGUGUUAGUGGAAGCGUCUGGAAAGGCGUGCGAUACAGGGUGACAGCCCCGUACACAAAAAUGCACAUACUGUGAGCUCGAUGAGUAGGGCGGGACACGUGGUAUCCUGUCUGAAUAUGGGGGGACCAUCCUCCAAGGCUAAAUACUCCUGACUGACCGAUAGUGAACCAGUACCGUGAGGGAAAGGCGAAAAGAACCCCGGCGAGGGGAGUGAAAAAGAACCUGAAACCGUGUACGUACAAGCAGUGGGAGCACGCUUAGGCGUGUGACUGCGUACCUUUUGUAUAAUGGGUCAGCGACUUAUAUUCUGUAGCAAGGUUAACCGAAUAGGGGAGCCGAAGGGAAACCGAGUCUUAACUGGGCGUUAAGUUGCAGGGUAUAGACCCGAAACCCGGUGAUCUAGCCAUGGGCAGGUUGAAGGUUGGGUAACACUAACUGGAGGACCGAACCGACUAAUGUUGAAAAAUUAGCGGAUGACUUGUGGCUGGGGGUGAAAGGCCAAUCAAACCGGGAGAUAGCUGGUUCUCCCCGAAAGCUAUUUAGGUAGCGCCUCGUGAAUUCAUCUCCGGGGGUAGAGCACUGUUUCGGCAAGGGGGUCAUCCCGACUUACCAACCCGAUGCAAACUGCGAAUACCGGAGAAUGUUAUCACGGGAGACACACGGCGGGUGCUAACGUCCGUCGUGAAGAGGGAAACAACCCAGACCGCCAGCUAAGGUCCCAAAGUCAUGGUUAAGUGGGAAACGAUGUGGGAAGGCCCAGACAGCCAGGAUGUUGGCUUAGAAGCAGCCAUCAUUUAAAGAAAGCGUAAUAGCUCACUGGUCGAGUCGGCCUGCGCGGAAGAUGUAACGGGGCUAAACCAUGCACCGAAGCUGCGGCAGCGACGCUGAUGCGUUGUUGGGUAGGGGAGCGUUCUGUAAGCCUGUGAAGGUGUACUGUGAGGUAUGCUGGAGGUAUCAGAAGUGCGAAUGCUGACAUAAGUAACGAUAAAGCGGGUGAAAAGCCCGCUCGCCGGAAGACCAAGGGUUCCUGUCCAACGUUAAUCGGGGCAGGGUGAGUCGACCCCUAAGGCGAGGCCGAAAGGCGUAGUCGAUGGGAAACAGGUUAAUAUUCCUGUACUUGGUGUUACUGCGAAGGGGGGACGGAGAAGGCUAUGUUGGCCGGGCGACGGUUGUCCCGGUUUAAGCGUGUAGGCUGGUUUUCCAGGCAAAUCCGGAAAAUCAAGGCUGAGGCGUGAUGACGAGGCACUACGGUGCUGAAGCAACAAAUGCCCUGCUUCCAGGAAAAGCCUCUAAGCAUCAGGUAACAUCAAAUCGUACCCCAAACCGACACAGGUGGUCAGGUAGAGAAUACCAAGGCGCUUGAGAGAACUCGGGUGAAGGAACUAGGCAAAAUGGUGCCGUAACUUCGGGAGAAGGCACGCUGAUAUGUAGGUGAAGUCCCUCGCGGAUGGAGCUGAAAUCAGUCGAAGAUACCAGCUGGCUGCAACUGUUUAUUAAAAACACAGCACUGUGCAAACACGAAAGUGGACGUAUACGGUGUGACGCCUGCCCGGUGCCGGAAGGUUAAUUGAUGGGGUCAGCGCAAGCGAAGCUCUUGAUCGAAGCCCCGGUAAACGGCGGCCGUAACUAUAACGGUCCUAAGGUAGCGAAAUUCCUUGUCGGGUAAGUUCCGACCUGCACGAAUGGCGUAAUGAUGGCCAGGCUGUCUCCACCCGAGACUCAGUGAAAUUGAACUCGCUGUGAAGAUGCAGUGUACCCGCGGCAAGACGGAAAGACCCCGUGAACCUUUACUAUAGCUUGACACUGAACAUUGAGCCUUGAUGUGUAGGAUAGGUGGGAGGCUUUGAAGUGUGGACGCCAGUCUGCAUGGAGCCGACCUUGAAAUACCACCCUUUAAUGUUUGAUGUUCUAACGUUGACCCGUAAUCCGGGUUGCGGACAGUGUCUGGUGGGUAGUUUGACUGGGGCGGUCUCCUCCUAAAGAGUAACGGAGGAGCACGAAGGUUGGCUAAUCCUGGUCGGACAUCAGGAGGUUAGUGCAAUGGCAUAAGCCAGCUUGACUGCGAGCGUGACGGCGCGAGCAGGUGCGAAAGCAGGUCAUAGUGAUCCGGUGGUUCUGAAUGGAAGGGCCAUCGCUCAACGGAUAAAAGGUACUCCGGGGAUAACAGGCUGAUACCGCCCAAGAGUUCAUAUCGACGGCGGUGUUUGGCACCUCGAUGUCGGCUCAUCACAUCCUGGGGCUGAAGUAGGUCCCAAGGGUAUGGCUGUUCGCCAUUUAAAGUGGUACGCGAGCUGGGUUUAGAACGUCGUGAGACAGUUCGGUCCCUAUCUGCCGUGGGCGCUGGAGAAUUGAGGGGGGCUGCUCCUAGUACGAGAGGACCGGAGUGGACGCAUCACUGGUGUUCGGGUUGUCAUGCCAAUGGCACUGCCCGGUAGCUAAAUGCGGAAGAGAUAAGUGCUGAAAGCAUCUAAGCACGAAACUUGCCCCGAGAUGAGUUCUCCCUGACUCCUUGAGAGUCCUGAAGGAACGUUGAAGACGACGACGUUGAUAGGCCGGGUGUGUAAGCGCAGCGAUGCGUUGAGCUAACCGGUACUAAUGAACCGUGAGGCUUAACCU